GGCCGGGUAGUAUAGUGGUCAUACACUCCGGAAUGUGCAACUCUCUUUCAGAGCUCCUUGUUCAAAUCAAGGCCAGGUCA
This is a non-coding RNA of Collybia nuda, 80 nucleotides long. NCBI's taxonomy places the organism in Eukaryota, Fungi, Basidiomycota, Agaricomycetes, Agaricales, Clitocybaceae. The record is from the annotation of a GenBank genome assembly.